AGGACGAACGCUUGCGACGUGCCUAAGAAAUGCAAGUCGAACGGGGUAGCAAUACCUAGUGGCGAACGGUCGCGUAACACGUGGGCAACCUGCCCUGGAGCGGGGGACAACAUACCGAAAGGUGUGCUAAUACCGCAUGUGGCCUCUCUUGGCAUCAAGAGACGGCUAAAGAUUUAUCACUCCAGGAUGGGCCUGCGGCCUAUCAGCUAGUUGGUGGGGUAACGGCCUACCAAGGCUUCGACGGGUAGCUGGUCUGAGAGGACGAUCAGCCGGAUUGGGACUGAGAUACGGCCCAGACUCCUACGGGGGGCAGCAAUUAGGAAUCUUGCACAAUGGGCGAAAGCCUGAUGCAGCGACGUCGCGUGGAGGAUGAAAUCUUUCGGGAUGUAAACUCCUUUUACCAGGGAAGAAAAUGUAGACGGUACCUGGGGAAUAAGCCCGGCUAACUACGUGCCAGCAGCCGC
RNAcentral lists this ribosomal RNA (464 nucleotides) under uncultured bacterium. RNAcentral describes it as "SSU rRNA". It matches the Rfam family "Bacterial small subunit ribosomal RNA", at positions 26 to 518 of the family's 1533-position model. The record is from RNAcentral.